RNAcentral lists this ribosomal RNA (253 nucleotides) under uncultured bacterium. RNAcentral describes it as "partial 16S ribosomal RNA". It matches the Rfam family "Bacterial small subunit ribosomal RNA", at positions 524 to 776 of the family's 1533-position model. The record is from RNAcentral.
UACGUAGGGUGCGAGCGUUAAUCGGAAUUACUGGGCGUAAAGCGCGCGUAGGUGGUUUGGUAAGAUGGAUGUGAAAUCCCCGGGCUCAACCUGGGAACUGCAUCCAUAACUGCCUGACUAGAGUACGGUAGAGGGUGGUGGAAUUUCCUGUGUAGCGGUGAAAUGCGUAGAUAUAGGAAGGAACACCAGUGGCGAAGGCGACCACCUGGACUGAUACUGACACUGAGGUGCGAAAGCGUGGGGAGCAAACAGG